Long non-coding RNA from Zingiber officinale, 2021 nucleotides. RefSeq lists it as uncharacterized. The record is from RefSeq and is a predicted model, not a curated record. NCBI's taxonomy places the organism in Eukaryota, Viridiplantae, Streptophyta, Magnoliopsida, Zingiberales, Zingiberaceae. The transcript is spliced from 6 exons.
UCUUAAGUUUUGCUUUAUGAGACAUUAAAGGUUUCCUCCAAUGUCAAGCUUACUCUUUUGAGUCCUUUGGAUGCUAAGUGUGAAAAGAAUGCAUAUGAGGGUGUGUUGCAACAAAUCCCAAGAAAUUAGUGAGCGUAUUGGAUUCUCUUUUUCCGAAUCUAGAUAUGAUUCACUUCCUCGUGAGGAUGUUAAUGCAAAACACCUAAUUUGUUGAAGGAUCUGGGAAAUUUUGACUGGAAAAUUACAAGUGACACCAGGAAACUUGUCUAUCACACUUUAAUCAAAUUGCUCGAGGUAUUUUCUUGGGAACCAAUACUAUGCCAUGAUAAUGUAGAUGUGGGAUGGUCUAGACUAUCAGAUAUGGAUGUUAACGAGGGAAAGCUUCUUGGAUGUUCAUACAAUCAAAGUUGUGUUGGCAUAUGGGUUGUGGACCUCUCUUGCAUUGAACCAUAUGCAAUUGCUAGUCCUAGAUUAAAUGAUCAUUCAGGCCAAAGUCUACAUCAGAUGGUAAUCCAUCUAUGCCAGCUGAUAACAUAAAGUCUAGUAUGAGGAGGUUAUCAAUAUUACAGAGUUUUGAAACAAAUUCUAAAGAGACAAAAUCAUUAUCAGCAACAGUCAUUGCUCCAGCCAGGUGCCCCUCAAAUAAUUGGGGCAUGUGCUAGCACGAUAGCACCUCUGACAACACCACCAUCUGUUUCUUCCUUUGUAAAAAGAAGUUUAUCAAAAUUUCAGUCUACAUCUGACCUUCAGACUAGCAAAGCAGAUAUGGCACCUGUGAUUGUUCCAAGAACUAGCCCGAGGAUACACUUGCCCUCUGAUUUUACUAAAGACUUUGGGGUUGGUAAAACAAUGUCAUUUGAUAUCCAAUCAAAAUUUACUGAAUUUUGGAAGGUGUCAAACAUCAAAGAGAAUUUAGAUAAAACAGAUAUCCAUUCAGUCUGGGAGCAGUAGUAAUAUUGAACAAAAUGAAUUUCUGGGCCAGACUCCUAUUUCUUCUAGCAAUGCUGGAACUCAACAUGUGUCAGCUGAAGCAAAUAAUUUGGAUGGUGUUAAGAACUUGAUUAAAUAAAGGAUCAGGUCUAUCUAAUUCAUUCAAUGAACCACAUUUGCACUUUGAUAAGGAAAAUUGUAAGUCUGAUACCACCUUAUUUUGUUUUGUUAGAUUAUUCAUGAUUCCAACUUAUCAAGAUUUCUUGUUAUUAUUGUUGAAAGCUGUUAGUUAUAGGACAUUCUAAAGCAUACAUCAUCACUGUUCGAUGUUAUUUUGUAUUUCUCCUUCAAAUGAACUAUACUUGUAGAUAUUAAAUGCAAUAUUUCUUUGCAAAUCAUGGCAUAGAUAAUGAAGAGAACUUCCUGAGUGAAAUUUCAGCAUUGAUAAUUUUCAAUCUUGGUUGGACUGGUAUAGAUAAGGUAGAUUUUGUUGGACACGGGAGGAAAUCCAUUAAAAAAUUAAUCAGAUUGGUGAUGUCUUAUUUGCACACUUGCAAGAGAGAUGUCCAUGUCUUCACUAUUUUGGACAUAUUCACCGCAUUUAAUUCGACCUUAGCUAAAGGGCUAACUGAAUCAACCAUAGCCAAUCUUGACUAACCAUGUUCAAUAUUAAAUUUGUUUAUGAAUCAUUCAAUAUGCUUUUUCUCAUUUCAGGGCACAAUUUCUGUUGUCGGCUUUUUGGCGUUUUAAAAAUAGUUGUUGGAACAUUGGUAGAACACAGUUUCUUAUUCCUUGGUGUUGGAGAGGUUUUACUCCUAAUCUCAAUUGGUUUAUUUGGUCUAUUGAAUGUGUUUAACACUUUAACUUUGAUUUUUUUUUCACUUGUGUAUUUUCUUGUGAACAUCUUAGUUUCCCAUUCUGGGAGUAUGAAUUCCUAUUUACUUAUGCUUCGUCCUUGUAUUUCAUAUUACAAAUCUUGUAAUGCAUAUAAUUAUAUGAGAAAUAGAUAUAGGAAGAUCAUGUCUAUUAGGAUUUUAUUUAUGAGGUGGGCUUCUGCUUUUUUAAAAAGAGGGUAGAAGAUAAUUUUUCCG